UUCCGGUUGAUCCUGCCGGACCUGACUGCUAUCGGAUUGAUACUAAGCCAUGCGAGUCAUUGUAGCAAUACAAGGCAUACGGCUCAGUAACGCGUAGUCAACCUAACCUAUGGACGGGAAUAACCUCGGGAAACUGAGAAUAAUGCCCGAUAGAACAUUAUACCUGGAAUGGUUUAUGUUCCAAAUGAUUUAUCGCCGUAGGAUGGGACUGCGGCCUAUCAGUUUGUUGGUGAGGUAAUGGCCCACCAAGACUAUUACAGGUACGGGCUCUGAGAGGAGUAGCCCGGAGAUGGGUACUGAGACACGGACCCAGGCCCUAUGGGGCGCAGCAGGCGAGAAAACUUUGCAAUGUGCGAGAGCACGACAAGGUUAAUCCGAGUGAUUUCUGCUAAAGAGAUCUUUUGUUAGUCCUAGAACCACUAACGAAUAAGGGGUGGGCAAGUUCUGGUGUCAGCCGCCGCGGUAAAACCAGCACCUCAAGUGGUCAGGAUGAUUAUUGGGCCUAAAGCAUCCGUAGCCGGCUCUGUAAGUUUUCGGUUAAAUCUGUACGCUUAACGUACAGGCUGCCGGGAAUACUGCAGAGCUAGGGAGUGGGAGAGGUAGACGGUACUCGAUAGGAAGUGGUAAAAUGCUUUGAUCUAUCGAUGACCACCUGUGGCGAAGGCGGUCUACCAGAACACGUCCGACGGUGAGGGAUGAAAGCUGGGGGAGCAAACCGGAUUAGAUACCCGGGUAGUCCCAGCUGUAAACUAUGCAAACUCAGUGAUGCAUUGGCUUGUGGCCAAUGCAGUGCUGCAGGGAAGCCGUUAAGUUUGCCGCCUGGGAAGUACGUACGCAAGUAUGAAACUUAAAGGAAUUGGCGGGGGAGCACCACAAGGGGUGAAGCCUGCGGUUCA
RNAcentral lists this ribosomal RNA (896 nucleotides) under uncultured archaeon. RNAcentral describes it as "bacterial SSU rRNA". It matches the Rfam family "Archaeal small subunit ribosomal RNA", at positions 1 to 904 of the family's 1478-position model. The record is from RNAcentral.